CGCAUCUGUGCAUGCAGCAUAUCAAUAAGCGGAGGAAAAGAAACUAACAAGGAUUCCCCUAGUAACGGCGAGUGAAGCGGGAAGAGCUCAAAUUUGAAAUCUUAAAGGGUUUCCCUUUACGAAUUGUAGUUUAAAGAAGUGUUUUCUGUUGAGGUUUUGGCUAAAAGUUCUUUGGAAUAGGACAUCAUAGAGGGUGAGAAUCCCGUAUUUGACCUUUACUUUCAACUUUGUGAUACACUUUCAAAGAGUCGGAUUGUUUGGGAAUGCAGUCCAAAAUGGGUGGUAAAUUUCAUCUAAAGCUAAAUAUUGGCGAGAGACCGAUAGCGAACAAGUACCGUGAGGGAAAGAUGAAAAGAACUUGAAAAGAGAGUUAAACAGUACGUGAAAUUGUCAAAAGGGAAGCGUUUGACACCAGUGUUGUUUUUCUGAAAAUCAAUUAAAGAACUGUUUAUGCUAAGUUGUUUAGACUUUAUCAGCUAACUGUUUAGUUUUGAGCUUUUCUUUAAUGCACUUUUCAGUUAACAAGUCAACAUCAAUUUCUUUUGCUGUAAAAAAGCUUGAGGAAGGUGGCUUGAGAUUCGUCUUAAGUGUUUAUAGCCUCUUGCCUAUGCAGUCGGAGAGAUUGAGGUCUGCAGCGUAGAUCCUUCGGGGCUAAAUGCAUUUGUGCUAAGUUAUAGCAUUUUAUAGACAACUUGUUGACUAUGAUUUGUCUUGUAGCUUACUCGCUUAUGUUAUUUUACCUACGCUUAGGAUGUUGAAUCUGUGCGAGACUAC
This 774-nucleotide ribosomal RNA is filed under the name uncultured Neocallimastigales. RNAcentral describes it as "partial large subunit ribosomal RNA". It matches the Rfam family "Eukaryotic large subunit ribosomal RNA", at positions 26 to 644 of the family's 3401-position model. The record is from RNAcentral. Lineage: Eukaryota; Fungi; Neocallimastigomycota; Neocallimastigomycetes; Neocallimastigales.